AGUGGCAAACGGGUGAGUAACACGUAAACAACCUGCCUUCAGGAUGGGGACAACAGACGGAAACGACUGCUAAUACCGAAUACCUGAAGAGGGGUUUGCGUCUGAUUAGGUAGUUGGUGAGGUAACGGCCCACCAAGCCGACGAUCAGUAGCCGGUCUGAGAGGAUGAACGGCCACACUGGAACUGAGACACGGUCCAGACUCCUACGGGAGGCAGCAGUGGGGAAUCUUCCGCAAUGGGCGAAAGCCUGACGGAGCAACGCCGCGUGAGUGAUGACGGCCUUCGGGUUGUAAAGCUCUGUGAUCGGGGACGCGGUACCCGAAUAGCAAGCCACGGCUAACUACGUGCCAGCAGCCGCGGUAAUACGUAGGUGGCAAGCGUUGUCCGGAAUUAUUGGGCGUGAAGCGCGCGCAGGCGGUUCUUAAGUCCAUCUUAGAAGUGCGGGGCUUAACCCCGUGAUGGGAUGGAAACUGAGAGCUGGAGUAUCGGAGAGGAAAGUGGAAUUCCUAGUGUAGCGGUGAAAUGC
This 526-nucleotide ribosomal RNA is filed under the name uncultured bacterium. RNAcentral's name for it is "bacterial SSU rRNA". It matches the Rfam family "Bacterial small subunit ribosomal RNA", at positions 94 to 689 of the family's 1533-position model. The record is from RNAcentral.